This 72-nucleotide transfer RNA is filed under the name Diaphorina citri (Asian citrus psyllid). It matches the Rfam family "tRNA". Rfam says of the family: Transfer RNA (tRNA) molecules are approximately 80 nucleotides in length. The record is from Rfam by way of RNAcentral. Lineage: Eukaryota; Metazoa; Arthropoda; Insecta; Hemiptera; Psyllidae.
GCUCCCAUGGCGUAGUGGUCACUGCACUCGCCUUGCACGCGGGAGACCCGGGUUCGACUCCCAGCGGGGUCA